CGAGAUGAUGUGCAGUUCAUGUUAGAUUUGCUAUUUCUAGAGUUACAGUGAAGUAGAAGAGUCCGGUCGUGUUAUGGGUCAGCAGUUCAACAAAAAGGACGGAGAGAUGUGUGCCAUGUUGAAGUUGUGGCUGCCCCUCCUACCCGGCACUUUUAGAAUCCUCCCUCUCAACCUCUGCUCUGAUCUGCUUUGCCUUUGCCAAGUGAUCACAAGUUUUUUGCAAUGGUGCCCCCUGCGUCUCCACCGUCUUUUAAAUCAACCCCAACUGCCUGUGACAGAAGAAAAGUUCACAAGACAUCCUGAAAUGGAAUUGUGAUUGGAGUGAGACAGCCACAAUUAUGUAUGCUGGG
This is a long non-coding RNA of Polypterus senegalus (gray bichir), 350 nucleotides long. RefSeq lists it as uncharacterized. The transcript is spliced from 3 exons. The record is from RefSeq and is a predicted model, not a curated record. Lineage: Eukaryota; Metazoa; Chordata; Cladistia; Polypteriformes; Polypteridae.